UACGGAGGGGACUAGCGUUGUUCGGAAUUACUGGGCGUAAAGCGUGCGUAGACGGUUAUUUAAGUCGGGUGUGAAAGCCCCGGGCUCAACCUGGGAAUUGCAUUCGAGACUGAAUAGCUAGGGUACGGUAGAGGGAAGCGGAAUUUCCGGUGUAGCGGUGAAAUGCGUAGAUAUCCUAAGGAACACCGGUGGCGAAAGCGGCUCACUGGACCUCUUCUGACGCUGAGGCACGAAAGCUAGGGUAGCGAACGGG
This 253-nucleotide ribosomal RNA is filed under the name uncultured bacterium. Its description in RNAcentral is "partial 16S ribosomal RNA". It matches the Rfam family "Bacterial small subunit ribosomal RNA", at positions 524 to 776 of the family's 1533-position model. The record is from RNAcentral.